AUUGAACGCUGGCGGAAUGCUUUACACAUGCAAGUCGAACGGCAGCACGGGGGCAGCCCUGGUGGCGAGUGGCGAACGGGUGAGUAAUACAUCGGAACGUGCCCGGCCGUGGGGGAUAACGUAGCGAAAGUUACGCUAAUACCGCAUACGAUCUGAGGAUGAAAGCGGGGGACCUUCGGGCCUCGCGCGAUCGGAGCGGCCGAUGUCAGGUUAGGUAGUUGGUGGGGUAAAGGCCUACCAAGCCGACGAUCUGUAGCUGGUCUGAGAGGACGACCAGCCACACUGGGACUGAGACACGGCCCAGACUCCUACGGGAGGCAGCAGUGGGGAAUUUUGGACAAUGGGCGCAAGCCUGAUCCAGCCAUUCCGCGUGCAGGACGAAGGCCUUCGGGUUGUAAACUGCUUUUGUACGGAACGAAAAGGCUCUGGCUAAUACCUGGGGCUCAUGACGGUACCGUAAGAAUAAGCACCGGCUAACUACGUG
Molecule: ribosomal RNA, 484 nt
Filed under: uncultured bacterium
Lineage: Bacteria
Description: partial 16S ribosomal RNA
Rfam family: Bacterial small subunit ribosomal RNA
Source: RNAcentral